GUGUCAGCCGCCGCGGUAAUACGUAGGGUGCAAGCGUUGUCCGGAAUUAUUGGGCGUAAAGAGCUCGUAGGCGGUUUGUCGCGUCGACUGUGAAAACCCGAGGCUUAACCUCGGGCCUGCAGUCGAUACGGGCAGACUAGAGUUCGGUAGGGGAGACUGGAAUUCCUGGUGUAGCGGUGAAAUGCGCAGAUAUCAGGAGGAACACCGGUGGCGAAGGCGGGUCUCUGGGCCGAUACUGACGCUGAGGAGCGAAAGCGUGGGGAGCGAACAGGAUUAGAUACCCUGGUAGUCC
RNAcentral lists this ribosomal RNA (292 nucleotides) under uncultured bacterium. RNAcentral's name for it is "partial 16S ribosomal RNA". It matches the Rfam family "Bacterial small subunit ribosomal RNA", at positions 505 to 796 of the family's 1533-position model. The record is from RNAcentral.